Bactrocera dorsalis (oriental fruit fly) is the source of this 680-nucleotide long non-coding RNA. RefSeq lists it as uncharacterized. The transcript is spliced from 3 exons. Lineage: Eukaryota; Metazoa; Arthropoda; Insecta; Diptera; Tephritidae. The record is from RefSeq and is a predicted model, not a curated record.
GUCAACACAACUGGUACAUUCAACGGAAGGAAUUAUAACGGAAAUAUUUGAUAACAACAACACCUGCUACAGUGGUGUGUGUAAUUUUAACCUUGAAAACAGCGCAAAUUGCACAAAUGUAUCAAAUUCCCAAAUUCCAUACAUAAAUAUCAAUUGAAUAAUGCCAAACAUGUGAUUACUUAAAUCAGAUCUUCGAUUAACAGUAAUAAUCUGCGAAUAAUGUGUGGCACGUGAUUUGAAGGCAAAAGCAAGAAAUGUGCGAAAUAAAAGCGAUGCUUCACGUAAGAAAGUGUUUGCUCCGGAGUGAUAUUAUUACUUAAAACAACUAUAUUCCGGCGGAGAGUCAAUUUCAGUGCAAAAACGUGCAAUUAAAUUUGUCAAUGGAUAUAUUUCAACAAAACCUAAAGUGUUAAAUAUGUUCGAGAAGAGUGCAUACUAAGGAUACAUAGUUGUAAAUUUUCAAAGAAGCUGAAGUGAAAAAGAUAACUAAUUAUAUUAAAGUAUAGAAAUAAAGUAUAGAAUGAAAUAAUACCACAUCAGCGCUUAUUUAGUCAUAAAUAAAAAUACAUACAUUAAAUUGACUGUUUGUAACCACACCAAAUAAAUGGUUUCGUAAAUAUUCUUUACGCGUCCUUUUAACUAAUAAAUCGUGUCUUCCGUGGAUCCACCAAAAGCUGUUC